AUUGAACGCUGGCGGCAGGCCUAACACAUGCAAGUCGAACGAGUGGCGGACGGGUGAGUAAUGUCUGGGAAACUGCCCGAUGGAGGGGGAUAACUACUGGAAACGGUAGCUAAUACCGCCUACCAUCGGCAGUGCCCAGAUGGGAUUAGCUAGUAGGUGGGGUAACGGCUCACCUAGGCGCCGAUCCCUAGCUGGUCUGAGAGGAUGACCAGCCACACGGGAGAUGAGACACUGUCCAGACUCCUACGGGAGGCAGCAGUGGGGAAUAUUGCACAAUGGGCGGAAGCCUGAUGCAGCCAUGCCGCGUGUAGGAGGAGGGCCUUCGGGUUGUAAAGUACUUUCAGCGGGGGGGCGUUACCCGCAGAAGAAGCACCGGCUAACUCCGUGCCAGCAGCCGCGGUAAUUC
RNAcentral lists this ribosomal RNA (406 nucleotides) under uncultured bacterium. Its description in RNAcentral is "partial 16S ribosomal RNA". It matches the Rfam family "Bacterial small subunit ribosomal RNA", at positions 29 to 526 of the family's 1533-position model. The record is from RNAcentral.